CACAGUAGGGUCCUCUUGGAGGUCCUCGUGCGUGCCUGAGCAAAUAAUAGUGAAUUAUCACCCAUAUCCCAAAUAUCGAGGAAUAAUUCGUUCACUAGUAUUACUCUAGGAAAUUCAGUGAAAAUGAACCUCAAUUACUCGUAAAUCGAGAUUCGAGAGAGGUUUGAUAACAUUCAACACUAUUUAAGUCUUUAUCUAGGAAAUCGGGGAUAAAACGUUUAGAUAAUAUCAAAAGAAUAAAGAGUUCUUGAAAAACUCUAUUUCCUUGAAAGUUGGAAAAAUUUCAGUUUUGUUAUGAAUCUUAGAAAAAUCGUAACUCACUCGGCAUAAGUCAAGAAUUGGAAAACUUUAUACCGUUGAAAACCUCUUAGAAAGUACUGCAAGUUCCUAGAAGACACUUUUCCAUGAAUCGAAGUGCAAAGUGCUCAAAAAUGAGCCUAAAGUUUCUGUUCCAAAUCACCCAGGAUUGAGCCGGGGUUGGUUUUUCGCUAACUUUGAAAAUUUGGCAGAAUUCACUCGUUGCAAACCAGCCCUUGAAAUUUAUAGCUCAAUUAGAGGUACAAGUAAGGUUUAGGUCAGAACAAACGGAUCGAGAAUCGGAGUUUCGAGCACCAAGAUAUGGUAGCUCAAAGUUGGGAAAAAUUCAAGACUGUUACAAAAUUUCCAGAUUUGGUUCCAACUUUGGACCUUUAGUUAAGUGCGAAACGGACUUGGAUUGACACCAAAUUUUGCAGUAUAAUACUUCCAUAUGAAGGUUAUCUCUCUAUCAAAUUUCAUGGAAAAAUACCCUCGGAAGGGGGUCAUUCAAUCAACCAAAGUUUGGAAAAUCCUUAAGGCAAUCUGUCCAAAUCUAAGAUUUUCAAAACGAGCAGUCGCCGUAUUUUGAUCAUAACUCUCUCAAUUUAACUCGGAAUUGGGAAUGGUUGAUAGUGUUAGAAAAUAAAUUCAUAGGGCUACAACUUCACAGAAGAAAUCGUUCCAUGUUUCGGCAUGCAACUGGUUCAAAAUCAAGCCUCAAGUUGCAGCAUCAUCAAAUCAUUUCGGCAGAACGGAGAAACAGGACAGUCGACUUCAGAUGAAUGGUGUGGCUCACACACAUGAAACCAGAAUGUGCAUUAUACACCGUUGGAAACAUGGGAACGUAUAGUUUCAAAUUCCGCUGACGGAACUUGAUUUCGACAUCGGAGCAUGGAGUUAUGGACAAAAUACAACCACUGGUCUGGAUUACGGCGAAACCGUUUUCCAGAUUACCAAUUUUUGAAAUAAAUUCGUUUGAGCAACCAAAACUCAAUAUUUUUCAACGAAAUUUUGUACACAACUUCUAAAACAUGUAAACAACAUAAUCAAGCCUUUAAAUCCUCAAUUAUCUGCAGUAAAGUGACCGAACAGAGCAGGGGUAAAAUGGGAACUUUUUGUUUCGAGAGUUAAACAACGUUUCUGUCAAGAAUGCACCUUUAAUCUACUUCCUUAAGCUCUAAUUCAGCAAAUAAACCAUCAUCAAACAUCAUCACAGCCAUCAACCAAAGUGGGAGUUCAUAGAGCCCACAUUUCCAACAAUACAAGCUAUUAAAGCAAAGAUUCCAACUCAAAUGCGUAAAUCAACUUCCAUAAGACAAGUUGAAGGUGUUAGAUUGCUACCUACUUUGAUGGCUGGUUUGGACAGAUUUUUCGGUCCUUUGAAGCUUGAAGAAACCGUGAAAGCUCCUCCCUUUUUCAGCCUAUGUUGUUGUCCAAGUGAAAAGCUAAAUGAAUGUGAAGUUUGAUGAGAAUCUAUGGAAGUUUUGGUAGGAAUUUGGUUGAGUUUUGGAAGAAAGGAAAUGAUGAAGCUUCGGUUGUUCCUUUGCUGCAGUCUAGCCGUCCAUUGCAGCAGAGGAAAGGAAAUGAAUUGCGGUUCCGAAGCCUUUGCGUAUAAGAGACGCUUGACGUCAAAUCUUUUAAUACGUCAAAUCAAUUAUAACUAGUACCCUACAC
Molecule: long non-coding RNA, 1971 nt
Filed under: Coffea arabica (coffee)
Lineage: Eukaryota; Viridiplantae; Streptophyta; Magnoliopsida; Gentianales; Rubiaceae
Description: long non-coding RNA (CARA_LNC008140)
Source: RNAcentral